RNAcentral lists this ribosomal RNA (408 nucleotides) under uncultured bacterium. Its description in RNAcentral is "partial 16S ribosomal RNA". It matches the Rfam family "Bacterial small subunit ribosomal RNA", at positions 28 to 526 of the family's 1533-position model. The record is from RNAcentral.
GACGAACGCUGGCGGCGUGCUUAACACAUGCAAGUCGAACGAAGUGGCGAACGGGUGAGUAACGCGUAAUUAACCUGCCCUUCAGAGGUGGACAACAGUUGGAAACGACUGCUAAUACCGCAUACUGAAGGAGGGGAUUGCGUCUGAUGAGCUAGUUGGAGGGGUAACGGCCCACAAAGGCGAUGAACAGGAGGCGGUCUGGGAGGAUGAACAGCCAACUUGGGACUGCGACCCGGCCCAUAGUCCUACGGGAGGGAGCAGUGGGGAAUCUUCCGCAAUGGGCGAAAGUCUGACGGCGCAACGCCGCGUGAGUGAUGACGGCCUCCGGGUUGUAAAGCUCUGUUAAUCGGGACGCGGUACCGGAAUAGAAAGCCACGGCUAACUACGUGCCAGCCGCCGCGGUAAUAC